GACGAACGCUGGCGGCGUGCUUAACGCAUGCAAGUCGAACGGAAAGGCCCUGCUUUUGUGGGGUGCUCGAGUGGCGAACGGGUGAGUAACACGUGAGUAACCUGCCCUUGACUUUGGGAUAACUUCAGGAAACUGGGGCUAAUACCGGAUAGGAGCUCCUGCUGCAUGGUGGGGGUUGGAAAGUUUCGGCGGUUGGGGAUGGACUCGCGGCUUAUCAGCUUGUUGGUGGGGUAGUGGCUUACCAAGGCUUUGACGGGUAGCCGGCCUGAGAGGGUGACCGGCCACAUUGGGACUGAGAUACGGCCCAGACUCCUACGGGAGGCAGCAGUGGGGAAUAUUGUACAAUGGGCGGAAGCCUGAUGCAGCAACGCCGCGUGCGGGAUGACGGCCUUCGGGUUGUAAACCGCUUUCGCCUGUGACGAAGCGUGAGUGACGGUAAUGGGUAAAGAAGCACCGGCUAACUACGUG
This 468-nucleotide ribosomal RNA is filed under the name uncultured bacterium. RNAcentral describes it as "partial 16S ribosomal RNA". It matches the Rfam family "Bacterial small subunit ribosomal RNA", at positions 28 to 507 of the family's 1533-position model. The record is from RNAcentral.